UACGGAGGGUGCAAGCGUUAAUCGGAAUUACUGGGCGUAAAGGGUGCGUAGGUUGUUUUUUAAGUUAUCUGUAAAAUCCCUGGGCUUAACCUGGGCAUGUCAGAUAAGACUGAGAGACUCGAGUAUAGGAGAGGGUAGUGGAAUUUCCGGUGUAGCGGUGAAAUGCGUAGAGAUCGGAAGGAACACCAGUGGCGAAGGCGGCUACCUGGCCUAAUACUGACACUGAGGCACGAAAGCGUGGGGAGCAAACAGG
This 253-nucleotide ribosomal RNA is filed under the name uncultured bacterium. RNAcentral's name for it is "partial 16S ribosomal RNA". It matches the Rfam family "Bacterial small subunit ribosomal RNA", at positions 524 to 776 of the family's 1533-position model. The record is from RNAcentral.